UACACCGUGGCCUAGUGGCUAGUGGUCGCGUUUUGGAAUUUGGGGUCGCGGGUUCAAUCCCCGCGGGGGUCA
Caenorhabditis brenneri is the source of this 72-nucleotide non-coding RNA. The record is from the annotation of a GenBank genome assembly. NCBI's taxonomy places the organism in Eukaryota, Metazoa, Nematoda, Chromadorea, Rhabditida, Rhabditidae.